AGAAAUAUCAGUUUUAGAGGAAGAACACAGUCUUGGAAAUGUGUGUUUGCGCACGCACUAUGAAGACCUUACUCACCUGAAGACAUUACUUUCCUAUUGAACAUACUUCUUUCCCUGGGACCCUUUGGAGAACAAAUCAGAGGAAGAUUUUCAAAAAGACCUGAGCCCUAGGACCAUGCCUCAGGACUACCUGGUAUGAUGACUCCUUGCUGUCCCCAGUCCACCUGGCCGUGCUGCUGCUCCAGUUUCAACUGUUCUGCCUGCGGCUAUGGAACCCUGACCUGUUCACCGGACGUGCUUGUUGCACCCUCGACAACUACUAUGAUUAUUAUUAUUUGACCAUGCUGGUCAUUUAUGAACAUUUUAACAUUUUAACAUUUUGACCAUGUUCUGUUAUAAUAUCCACCCUGCACAGCCAGAAGAGGACUGGCCACCCCUCAUAGCCUGGUUCCUCUCUAGGUUUCUUCCUAGGUUUUUGGCCUUUCUAGGGAGUUUUUCCUAGGGAGUUUUUCCUAGCCACCGUGCUUCUUUCACAUGCUUUGCUUGCUGUUUGGGGUUUUAGGCUGGGUUUCUGUACAGCACUUUGAGAAUAUCAGCUGAUGUACGAAGGGCUAUAUAAAAAUAAAUUUGAUUUGAUUUGAUUUGUGUGAUUAGGGUCGUUAUCCUGUUGGAAGGUGAAACUUUGCCCCAGUCUGAGGUCCUGAACACUCUGGAGCAGAUUUUCAUCAAGGAUCUCUCUGUACUUUGCUCCAUUCAUCAUUCCCUCAUCCUGACUAGUCUCCCAGUCCCUGCUGCUGAAAAACAUCCCCACAGCAUGAUACUGCCACCACCAUGCUUCACCGUAGGGAUGGUGCCAGGUUUCCUCCAGAUGUGACACUUGGCACUCAGGCCAAAGAGUUCAAUCUUGGUUUCAUCAGACCAGAGAAUCUUGUUUCUCAUGGUCUGAGAGUCCUGUAGGUGCCUUUUGGGCCAACUCCAAGUGGGCUGUCAUGUUCCUUUUCCUGAGGAGUAGCUCUGUCUGGCCACUCUAACACAAAGGCCUGAUUGGUGGAGUGCUGCGGAGAUGGUUGUCCUUCUGGAAGAGGAACACAGAGGAACUCUGGAGCUGUCAGACUGACCAUCGGGUUCUUGAUCACCUCCCUGAGCAAGGCUCUUCUCCCCGAUGACUCAGUUUGGCCUGGCGGCUCUAGGCAGUGUCUUGGUGGUUCCAAACAUCUUCCAUUUAAGAAUGAUGGAGGCCACUGUGUUCUUGGGGAACUCAAUGCUGCAGAAAUGUGUUGUUACCCUUCCCCAGAUCUCUGCCUCGACCCAAUCCUGUCUCUGAGAUUUACGGACAAUUCCUUCGACCUCAUGGCUUGGUUAUUGCUCUGACAUGCACUGUCAACUGUGGGACCUUAUAUACGUAGACAGGUGUGUGCCUUUCCAAAUCAUGUCCAGUCGAUUGAAUUGACCACAGGUGUACUCCAAUCAAGGAUGAUCCACGGAAACAGGAUGCACCUGAGCUCAAUUUCGAGUCUCAUUGCAAAGGCUCUGAAUACUUAUGUAAAUGAGGUAUUUCUGUUUUUUGUUUUUAAUAAAUUUGCCAAAAAAUUAAUGUUUGCAUUAUGGGUUAUUGUGUAGAUUUGAUGAGGAUGUAACUUAACAAAAUGUAGAAAAAGUCAAGGGGUCUGAAUACUUUCCAAAUACACUGAAAAUCAAUCGCAUUCUGUAACAUAAAAGUCUCCAAUCAAUCAUUUAAAAUGCCUGAAAGGCACCAGAAUAUCUAAUUGUAAGGAAUUCUGAGUAUUGUUCCACACAUAUAUAUGGAGGGUCUGCUGAACAAUUAUAUGAGCCAUUUGGGCCAGGGAUAUGGUUCAUUUUAAGGGUCGUGUGAGAGUAAAGGCUAAAUGUGGUUAGAAAAGAAUGGGCUUCUGUCGUCUCUAGCAUUGCCAUGGUGUCAUGGUGACGACAGUAGUGUCGGGCAGUUCUGUGGUCAGUCAAUUAGGCUGAAUCUUACCUGCGUCCCAAGUGGCAUCUUAUUCCCUUUAUAAUGCACUACUUUUGACCAAGGCCCAUAGGGCUAAUGUCAAAAGUAGUGCACUAUACAGGGAAUACGGUGCCAUUUGGGAAGCAACCUAAAGGACAGGCGACACAGGACACAACCACUGAUGCAUUUAGCUGUUGAAAUUCCAUUUUUCAACCACUGACCCCAGACGUCCCUCCCUCAUCUCUAUUCCUACAGCGGUAAUUGAGGGUUAAUUCAACAGUUAAGGAUUAAGAAGGGGAGAGAGCAUGAUAGGCAAGCAGCUGCCUCUUACAAUAUACAUUUAAAUCUACACAAUUAUACCUUGAAUCACCUCAAACAGCCUAGCUAAAGAGGUUGAGAACAGAGUUCCUUUUCUUAGGGAGAAUCUCAAUUGGUUUCCUCGACUCCUCUCCUCUUCUCCUUUAAAAACGGUUAAAGGUAAUCGAGGAAAGAAGCCGAGGAGAGGAAACGUGAAGAUUUUUUUUUUUUAAAUUGAUGGUUUUUACCUUUAGCGCCUAUCUAUUUUAUCCUGCUACUGGUCAUUAUUAGUGCUGUUUACAUGUGCAUGUACAGUAUUACCACCAGCAUAUUACCAUACAUAUUUAAAUAUUCCUGCUACCACUACAUUUUCUGCCCUGUUUGCAUGUUUAUCCACGUAUUAUGUCUACACUGUCACUCUUGCACACACACUCACACUAACACCCACACACUUAC
Molecule: long non-coding RNA, 2719 nt
Filed under: Salmo salar (Atlantic salmon)
Lineage: Eukaryota; Metazoa; Chordata; Actinopteri; Salmoniformes; Salmonidae
Description: lncRNA (ENSSSAG00000094225.1)
Source: RNAcentral